RNAcentral lists this transfer RNA (88 nucleotides) under Edaphobacter sp. Its description in RNAcentral is "tRNA-Ala". RNAcentral also lists the same sequence under 1 other name. Lineage: Bacteria; Pseudomonadati; Acidobacteriota; Terriglobia; Terriglobales; Acidobacteriaceae. The record is from RNAcentral.
CCCCCAGUGCUGGAAAUGGCAGACAGGCUCGGUUUGCAACCGAGUGCCCAUUCCGGGCGUCCGGGUCCGAUCCCCGGCUGGGGGACCA